UCGAGAUUCAAUUUAUAUGAGCAUGCUGGGUGUUUCUAUGCAGUCAUCUAAAAACGGGUCGAAUUUGUCGAGAAACCACACCAAUAUGUUUACAACGGGGACCGUGCGAUCUUUCCUUAAGCGAGACAUCUAACUCGCCUGGUGACAAAAGGGUCUUAUUCUACAAACAGUAACGUGAAAACAUGCUGCGGUCGCUUUGGUAAAGUUGUCUAAUCAAUGACAGGAGCCGGGAGGCUAGCGAAACUCAACCAAUGGACCAGGAUUACAGGUUUCUUUGCCGGGGAAAGAAAGAUUUUGGGCUGCGGGGCUUCAGCCAGUUACAACCAUAUACGAUUGUUUGGCAACGAAGCAGCAGCGUUGGCUUCUCCGAGACCGCUCGGAGAGCAGCGGGUCCGGGGGGGGGGGAAACCGUACAACUACCCCUAAAUGACAGCUCUCACUCCCAUGCUGGUGCCUGAAGUGUUCCCCAACGUGCCACUGAUCUCCGUCACUAGGAACCUGGUUUUCCCAAGGUUCAUCAAGAUUACCGAGGUGAAUAACAAACAGCUUAUGGAUCUUCUGAGGAGGAAAGGCCAACUGGCCCAACCAUACGCUGGAGUGUUCCUGAAGAAAGAUGAUGCUAAUGACUGAUGUGGUGGAGAGUCGUCUAGAUGCCAUCUACAACACAGGAACCUUUGUACAGAUCCAUGAGAUGCAGGACCUUGGUGACAAGCUGAGGAUGAUAGUCAUGGGCCAUCAAAGAAUCUGCAUCAUCAAGCAGAUGGAGCCGGAUGAGCCUGCCACUGCUGCCUCUGAGCCUGCGUCUGACACUGAACCAGGGAGCCAGCCCUAGGCCCCACACCGGAAGGCCAAGAGAUAAGAGCGUAAAGAGCCAGCCACCCUGGCUAAAACCAUGGAUGAGAAGGAGCAGACCUGAUCGUAGAGUCACUCCCUCUGCCCUCCAAGGAUAUCCUUAUGGCUUAUCUCUCCUGGCUCUGUUCCAAUAUAUUCUCACAACUACACCACCUAGAUACAGUGGUUGCUCCACUAAAUGCUGUGGUACUUAGAGGUAAUUUGUGGUUUAGUACGGUACCCUGCCUCACUACUUCAUUGCUCCAGACCAGCGCAAGGGGGAGUUGGAGCACUGAUUAUGCUUUUGGGUCCUACUGUGUCUCUAACUGAUGAUGAAUGGGUGACAUAAACCUAAAUAGAAACUGAUAAAUGUGCACGACUUUAGUAUUACCUACUAAAACUGUUGUUACACUAAAGUUUUUAUUAUUUUAUUUUGUUAGGAUUAUUUUGCUCUUACUGUAGUACUGUAGCCCACUCCCGACCAGUCACGCUGUACAGAGCAUGAGUAGCGCAACGGUCUAAGACACUGCAUAGCAAUGGAAGCUGUGUUGCUACAACAUUUAAGUCAUUUAGCAGACGCUCUUAUCCAGAGCGACUUACAAAUUGGUGCAUUCACCUUAUGACAUCCAGUGGAGCAGCCACUUUACAAUAGUGCAUCUAAAUCUUUUAAGGG
Molecule: long non-coding RNA, 1504 nt
Organism: Oncorhynchus nerka (sockeye salmon)
Lineage: Eukaryota; Metazoa; Chordata; Actinopteri; Salmoniformes; Salmonidae
Exons: 4
Source: RefSeq, a predicted model, not a curated record